GCUCCCAGUGCAUGUCGUCUGUUGACACAUUUUGAGACGGAGGGCACUCAUCCCCUCUGAGAGCUGCUCGGCGUUGACGAUUGGUUCUCUCCCUCAAAUGCACAUGAUAGAAACCCGCAUGGAUUUUGCCAUCAACAUGGACAUAUUGAAUCUGACUCACUCCAAGUCAACCCAGUUUCCGGUCUUUCAUGGAAUAUUCGGUCCAGGCGGUGCCCCGCCUCCCGAGGACCAAGAUGUCCGUCUUCAAGGAAAAUACCAGGUAUAUGCUUCACAACCUGCGGGUUACACUUAGGGGCCCAACCCGGUUAAUUGACCGGUGCCUAUUCGCCAUGGAAGCCAUACCUCAAGGAUCCGGUACUAUCAGCCGCUCCAACAUGGCGCUUUCUCGGGUCUUUGGCCUGGUAUGACCAAAUCAUGUGACCUUCGGAUGAAGCUCAUCUAAGAAUUAAUUGAUGACUCCGGAGGAGGGACUCCUUUACGCCAACUGCAUGGAACUACCUGCAGGUUUGUUCAACAUUCACAGUAUUGCUCGCUACCUUCCGGCAUGGACUUCUCACCGGUUGUCCACUACGGACUGCAGUCGGAUCUCACAUAGGAUCGCUAUCUAUAGCUUCUGGACAAGUAUUCGUCAUUUGUGACAGAAUGUAUGCGGGACGAGACACUUGUGUGGCGGACGGCUUCACCCGGCCAUGGAGAGACCCCAAUGAUUGGUUGCCUCACCCUCCAGGGUCUCGAGUACUGGCAUGAUUACAUUCGGUGCGAACCGCCAUAUGGAGCGGUUCUCCAACUGGCUGCCGG
This is a non-coding RNA of Pelobates cultripes (western spadefoot toad), 798 nucleotides long. Lineage: Eukaryota; Metazoa; Chordata; Amphibia; Anura; Pelobatidae. The record is from the annotation of a GenBank genome assembly.